RNAcentral lists this unclassified non-coding RNA (284 nucleotides) under Hevea brasiliensis (rubber tree). The record is from RNAcentral. Lineage: Eukaryota; Viridiplantae; Streptophyta; Magnoliopsida; Malpighiales; Euphorbiaceae.
CGUGUCUGACAUACAUGUGAAAUUGUAGAAUAGGAUAUGCAUGUUAUAUAUUAAAAUAGUAACAAGAUAUGUUUGGGCUUUGGCAGUGUUUAACUAUGGUGGAAGUCAUGGCGUGAACAUAGUAAGUAAAGAUGAUUAUGACAAUUGCAACACUGGAAAUGCUCUCCUAUCUUAUACUGGUGGACAGAAUAGCAUACCCCUCUCAAGUGCAGGUGACAUGUAUUUUGUUUGUCCUACACUUAAUCACUGUGACACUGGCAUGAAAUUGGCAAUCAAAGUUGAAG